UCACCCCCUGCCACACCCCAACCCCAAUUUUGUGAGCAUUCAUGGCUCGCUAUACGAUUUCUAUUCCCAGAUGUGGCCCUCAGGCCAAAAAGUUUGCCUACCCCUGGCUAGAGCCUGUUCCCAAGGCUGCCCCCAUUCCCAGGACUCCCUCCUUGGGCUGCUCUGCUCCCCACGGUGCAGCCACUGAGCACAGGCAUUUCACUGAGGUACCAUGGGAUGCCUCUGGUCUCAGCCUUAUCCCCUGUGCCUCCCUAGUGCCCCUUACCCUGCGCUUUGGGGCAAGGACCAUCUCUCUCUGUUCUGGCCAGUGGCCAGCACACUUUGGGGUGAUGAAGAAUGAAGGGUAGAGUGGAGACUGCCCGGAGCAGGGACUUGGCCCCUCUGUGCAGCUUUACACAACCUCCAUCCUCCGUCACUAAUAAUCCACUUCCAUCUGCAGGGAGAUGGAGCCAGAAGUCCCCUCUCCUGCCCGCAGGGUGGCAGAGAACUCCAGGCACAGCACUGGAAUGGAUACACCCCUCCCUCGACACCAGCUUUUUCUGCAUGUUGAAGAACACAGGGAGAAGGGGCACAUGAGCUGUACGAAGCAUGUUCGACGUGAGAGCAGCUCUCAAGCAGGAUUUAUCAGAUAGGUCUUGGCACCAAAUGUCACUUUAGGGCUGUGCUCCCUCUAUCUCCUUGCACCGUAGGAGCCAGUUUCAGCUCCUGUGACAGCCUCUAGCAGGAGGAACUGCACUGAUGAUAUGCUGAGCAGGUCUAGUGCCAGUCGGAGGAUCUGGGGGCACAGUGCUACGGUGCCAUUAUCCCAGCUUACGUUUUUGUAAAUGUUUGUUCCCCCAACUCGUUUCUGGAGCAGGAUGCAAGAUCUUGUGAACAACAGUGCCGAGGGACUGCGCCCACCCCAGCAGCUACAGGGGCCACGGGGAAGGGGACGAGGGAGCCUCCCCAUGAAAUGUACGAAGCAGCAGCUCUAACCUGAGGUAGCUGGGCUGGAGUCACUCACUCCUUCCAGGGCCUGACAGCCUCCUUUGAAAUAGAGAGAUCGCUCCGGACCCCCAGUGCCCCGGCUGCGACACAGGCUCUGCACAAAGGCCUGCUGCUAAGUUACAUUUAGAAUAAUGUCCCUCCACAUCAGUUGUGGGAAGAGCCACCCAGCUGGAGAUGGUGCAUGGCCUGCUGGGAACUGUAGUUCUCACGCCUGCCACCCUGGUACGCAAUAGGGAAGGAGGAGCUGUGCUCUGCAGGAUUUUCCCCUCGGCCUGGGGCCUGGCAUGCAAUAAGCCCAUGCUUCCUCCUGCUGGGAGGAAGUGUGUUCAGGAGGUCUUUCCACUCCAUCCUUAGGGGUCCCAGUUUAACUCCCCACCAUCCUGGGUCUCAGGCCGUAUUUAUACCCCCACAAUCUCAGGCACCUCAGGCCAGACUCUUGCAAGCUCAACUCCUGGGCUAGAGAGAGUGCCAAAGCUUCCCUAUUUCUCUGGCUACCUCCCCUCCACCCCUGCUUCCCUCAUACCUGGGGCCAGGACAGGCUCCAUAACAUUCUCUGCAGGGUUCUUCCAGGCUGGGGAGAUACUGCUCCAAGCAACCCUAAACCCCAUUCUUGUGACUGCCCCAAACAUCGAGCCUGUGCUUGGUCUUGCCCCCGUUUGCAUUCUUUUCUCCCCAAGUUUGCUAGGUCACAGGGCUAGAGCCAUUGCCCCCUGCCCGUUUCCUGCCAUCCAAUCCCACAGUGCAGCGAAAACACUGAGCAGCCACUUCCAGUCACCUGCCCUGAGCCCCAAGCAAGGCCUUCACAGCAGGGUGCAGCAAGGCAGGCAGUGGCUCAUUCAAAGCCAGGGGAGC
This is a long non-coding RNA of Dermochelys coriacea (leatherback sea turtle), 1839 nucleotides long. RefSeq lists it as uncharacterized. Lineage: Eukaryota; Metazoa; Chordata; Testudines; Dermochelyidae. The transcript is spliced from 2 exons. The record is from RefSeq and is a predicted model, not a curated record.